This 497-nucleotide ribosomal RNA is filed under the name uncultured bacterium. Its description in RNAcentral is "partial 16S ribosomal RNA". It matches the Rfam family "Bacterial small subunit ribosomal RNA", at positions 28 to 507 of the family's 1533-position model. The record is from RNAcentral.
GAUGAACGCUGGCGGCGUGCCUAAUACAUGCAAGUCGAGCGAACAGAUGAGGAGCUUGCUCCUCUGACGUUAGCGGCGGACGGGUGAGUAACACGUGAAUAACCUACCUAUAAGACUGGGAUAACUUCGGGAAACCGGAGCUAAUACCGGAUAAUAUAUUGAACCGCAUGGUUCAAUAGUGAAAGACGGGUUUUCUGUCACUUAUAGAUGGAUCCGCGCCGCAUUAGCUAGUUGGUAAGGUAACGGCUUACCAAGGCAACGAUGCGUAGCCGACCUGAGAGGGUGAUCGGCCACACUGGAGCUGAGACACGGUCCAGACUCCUACGGCAGGCAGCAGUAGGGAACCUGCCGCAAUGGGCGAAAGCCUGACGGAGCAACGCCGCGUGAGUGAUGACGGUCUUCGGAUCGUAAAACUCUGUUAUGAGGGAAGAACAAAUGUGUAAGUAACUAUGCACGUCUUGACGGUACCUACUCAGAAAGCCACGGCUAACUACGUG